RNAcentral lists this ribosomal RNA (245 nucleotides) under uncultured bacterium. RNAcentral describes it as "partial 16S ribosomal RNA". It matches the Rfam family "Bacterial small subunit ribosomal RNA", at positions 109 to 354 of the family's 1533-position model. The record is from RNAcentral.
AGUAACGCGUGAGGAACCUGCCUCAGAGAGGGGGAUAACACACCGAAAGGUGUGCUAAUACCGCAUAACAUAUGAGAGGGGCAUCCCUUUUAUAUCAAAGAUUUAUUGCUCUGAGAUGGCCUCGCGUCCAAUUAGCUAGUUGGUGAGGUAACGGCCCACCAAGGCGACGAUUGGUAGCCGGACUGAGAGGUUGAACGGCCACAUUGGGACUGAGACACGGCCCAGACUCCUACGGAAGGCAGCAG